UUCAUUGCUGUUCCUGCAAACCCAGAAAUCAAAAUUGCAAUUCUCGCAAUUUUUCCCUCUCAGCACCCAACAAUCGACGACCUCCUCCACCAUCCACGGGAUGGCCUCCUUCACCAUCCACGAGUCACAUACAUACUCCAUUGCCCAUCGACGACCUCCCCUACCAUCCAUGGAUUCGCAAUGCUCUUCUCCUCCACUGCCCAUCGUUGACCUCCUCCACCAUCCAUAGAGUUGCAGUGCACUUCGAUCUCCUCCAUCAUUGCCGACCUCCUUCACAGAUAAGGAAUUGAGAACCUACAAUAGAAUAAAUCAGAAUAAAUCAUAUGCUCAUGUUUUGGGUAUGUCAGGUGCUUGUGUUUGUGUGGUUGUUUUGGGUGCUUGUUAGACUUUGAAUUGGACCAUAUUGAUCAAUUGAUUCUAGCUUCGAGUUAGACUUCAGAUUUUCUGCUUAUCAUGCUUAACGUAAUUUAUAUGUUCGUUAAAGAGUCAUCGUCUAUUUAAAUGUUUGUGCUCAUGUACCUGCACUUUUUGCCUCGACGUUCUUUGAUAUUUAUUUGUUUUCCAAUAUAUCAUUUUCGCCGAUGGUAUCGCUGCAUGUUUGGGCUAGCAAGCGGCCUUAUGGAACCUUGUCUUUACAUGUUAAAAACCUUUGUGUUUAAGUUGAAGACAAAGAAUCACCUACUUUUAAAUGUAGGGAUCUAUCAUGCUUAGCUGUCUACAAAUUACGACCACCAUAUGUGCUAUUUCGACACUAAAAAGAUCCAUCUAUCCACACAAAGUCUUCAAUUCUAUAUGUAUGUCCUCCACAUGUUCUUGUGAUGUGGUUUAGGAAAACUUUAAUUCUGGCUUCUUGAACGGUAUCUUUUGUUGAGGAAAAAAACUUUAGAAAAAGGAGUGGGCUGGUCCCCCAAUUUUCUUUGAGUUCAACCUUUCAGAAAAAAGCAAACCUGAGUCUAAUUUUAUACACCAAAAAUAUGCUUGUAGUAUCAAUCUUAUACACUGAAAAUUUGCAUAUAGUAUCAAAUUAUCAAUUCCCCUGAUUGUCAUUUUAUUUUAGUAUCAAGUUUGUAAAAUAAAAACUAUAAUUUGUUAAAAACCAUGUCUUCCCUAGGCUUGUGCUUUGUGAUGUUAGAAUAAGCAAGUGUGGUUUUUUGUUUGGAACAAAAGUUGUAUUUCCCGUAUCAAACUUCUAUACUUUUUUUUUUUUUUUAAUUUCAUGUUGUGCUUUAAUAUAUCAAGAUUGUUCUUGAUAGAGAAUUGUGGUUUGAAUAAUGCAUUGCAAAAAUGUGUUUAUGAUUCUUAGACUUAUGGCGAGUUUGAGAAAUCUUGAGAGGUGUUUUUUGGCACUUACAAUUUGUAUGAGAAUACAUGGCUUCAAAAUCUCUAUAGUAAGCAAAUGUAAUAGGUUUUUGUAUACCUGAAAUAUACAUUAUGGGGUUGGGAUGAAUACAACUUAGAGGAAUGAGAGCAUGCAUGCCUUUUUUGAUGAAUUUGUAUAUUCAGGGAUUACAUUAAAAGAAUUUGUUGAUCAGUUUGAUAAUGCACUGGGGAAGAAAGUAGAGAAUAAGAUGACAAUAAACUUUCACUCAUUUAAGGCUACAGUCCCAUAUAUCCCAUUUACCCGUGGAGAAGAAAUUUCAAGAAGUAUAUACGAAUUCUAAGUUUAAGGAAGUAGAUGCAGAAGUAAUGAGAAUUAUCUAUUCUCAUUGUAUUCUCAUAAAAACGAAAUGGGCGAUUAUAACAUAUCAAGUUAAUGAUUAUAGGCAAGUUGAAGACUACAUCAAACGAUCAACUUUGCAUGCAUACUUCAAUGAAGAUGAGUGCGAGGCAAAGUGAAUAUAUGGACUAUUUGAGAUGAGAUGAAUUAUAUCUAGACACAUUCUUGCAAUUUUUGCCACAAGGGAUAUCCGAGUGUUGCUAAAAAGGUAUAUUAUGGAUAGGUAGAGGAAAGACGUUAAACGUAGAUAUGCUAAACGUAGAUAUGCUUUCAUUCAAAAUAAUUACGAUGACUUGAGUGGUAAACCAGUUGCUAAUAGGUACUCUAGUUUGAUUAAAAAUAUAUAUAUGUUAUGAAAUAGUUACAAAUGCAGCAGAAAGUGAAGAUAAGUCUAUGGAUAUGGCACAGAAGUUACAUGCAAUGAACUUGAUUUACACUAAAACAAAGCCCCAGCUCAUAGUCGUAGUACCUAGUAAUGAGGGUAUUGAUGUUGAAACUAGAAGUUCUAAAAAAGUGGAGUUCUAGCAUGGUUAGAGGCAAAGGGAGGCCCCCAUCGAAGAGGAAGCUGGUACCUCCAAUAUAGAAGGUUAUAAAGAGGAAAAGUAAACAGACUGAGCUUGGUGGAAAGAGAAAGAGAAAAGAUAUAUUUAAUUUGUUUAUCAUACAAUUUAUGCAAAGUUUUUACUGAAUAUUGAAAAUUUAUUUAUGUAUUGAAUUGUAGGCAAACUCACCUUCGAUGGAUGUAUUGAACAUGAGUGGCACUGCAGUCACAAUAGAUGAGGUAUUAUUGUCUAGCACACAAUUAAGUGUUAAUACACAGGUGGACUUUCUACAUCAUGGCGCUGAUUAGGAUCAUUGAGAGCAAGUAGUUUUGGUGCAUUGAUGAUCAGUUGUUUUUGGAGAAUUUUGUAACUUGGAAAAUAUCUCUAUAUGUGAAUUUUGUAGCUUUGCAACAUGCCAGUAUGGGAGUUUUUGUAGUA
Molecule: long non-coding RNA, 2697 nt
Organism: Carya illinoinensis
Lineage: Eukaryota; Viridiplantae; Streptophyta; Magnoliopsida; Fagales; Juglandaceae
Exons: 2
Source: RefSeq, a predicted model, not a curated record